Molecule: long non-coding RNA, 1631 nt
Organism: Sarcophilus harrisii (Tasmanian devil)
Lineage: Eukaryota; Metazoa; Chordata; Mammalia; Dasyuromorphia; Dasyuridae
Source: Ensembl
AAAUAUACAAAAAAAUCAUUACCUUUUUGGGGCUUUUGUUUGUGUUAUUUUUUUGGUUUGCUUAUUUUGGGGGCUAUUUGGUUAUUGUUUUUUUAAUUGUCCAGACUAUGUCUUUGUUAUUUCUUUAAAUAUAUAUAUAGAUAUAAACAUAUAUCUAUAUAUCUAUAUCUAUCUAUAUAUAAUCAGGUGAUGUGAAAAGAUGAAAUUAAUAGACUAGUUUGCUUUAUUUUUUUUUUUUGGUUUUUCUCCUGAACUUCAGAAUUCUCAAAAAGCUAACACCAAUCUAUCAAAGAUGUUGCUUUGCUCACCUACAUUUUUAAAAGUAUGUGGUGCUUGUAGCUGGGGAAAAAAUUAGUGAUUUUAGCUCUUCACUUAGCUAUGGGAAAAUGGCCGGGAUGAAGCCCUGAAAUGUUUAAGAGUGAGAACCAUAAAAAUUCACUUUCUAUUCUGUCCACCUGAUUAAGAACAGCAUUCCACAGUUUCAGUCACCUCGCUUUGCUCUUCCAAUGAAAUUUACUAUAAUUUGGGGGUCUACUGUAUAGUUGGGACCGUUAUUGAACUAAUAUGGAGCAUUUUUGGUAUACCUUCUGUCUUAACCAUUUGGUUCUUUUGGUUUUAUUUAAAGGGGGAAAAAAAGCCAAAAUGUGAACAUUUGAGCCUGGAAUGCUCACAGUUAGGUUAGUUUCAUGGGAAAUGGAGUAACUAUUGUUUUUUUUAGCCAGAGUUCAUUCUUAGACAUGGGAUUGCAGAGCACUGGAUAGGGCACAUAUAUUCUCCUCAAUUUGAGAAUCCAUGUUUAGUCAUGGUGGAAUAAAAGUGUGAUAAUUUCUGUCUCCCUACACUUUCCCCUAUGCACAUGACCACCAGCCUGUUCUAAGAAAUAAAAGCAGUUCAUCUGGGGCUAACAGUUAAUGCCCAAUGAGUUUCUGUUGCUGUUUUGACAUCCGUUUGAUUGGCUACUUAUGAUCUCAAUGGGAUAAAGCAGGCUGGUUAAAAUGCCAAUAAAAAAAAGUGGGCUGGUAAAUUGUAAUUCUUUGCAAGGCUGGCUGAACUGGAAUAAUUUUAUUCACUGGUGGAUCAAAGGAAUGGAAGUAAAUUGAUUUGAAAGGAAUUCUGUCAGACCAAGGGCUCUCAGAGUUCUUGGAACCCAAGCAGGGAAGGUAUGAAGAAAGUGUACAUUCUGAGGAGCAACCCUUCAGGAAACUGCCCCAGCCAAACACUUGCAUUGCUGUUUUUAGAUGAUAGAAAAUGACCAACUUUUCACAUCACCAUUCAGUUUCAAUUUCUAGCUCAAAGCUUUCUGGAGUCUUUUGGUUUUCAUAAGCCUCCCUCCCCUUUAUUAUUAAAAUAAAUGAAAUAACCCUCCCUUUCUCUCUUGCUACUCCUUUUAUUGCCUUUCCCUUAUAAAAGUUUUCAAGUUGUUUUGAAAUGCAUUCUUUUGGUUGUUGGUUUUGUUCCCCCCAACCCCAUCCCCACGCCUCCUUUUCUUAUAAUUCAGAGUAUGAAACCUGCAAAGCUCAGCUUGGUUUUGAUUUUGAAAGUUUAAGCUUUUUCUGCUUCUGUGAGAGCACAGGCCUCUGUCUUUUUGAUUCCAACUGAAACUUUUUGUGUUCUCUAAUGAUACUAACAAG